This 120-nucleotide small nuclear RNA is filed under the name Fukomys damarensis (Damara mole-rat). RNAcentral describes it as "U2 spliceosomal RNA". It matches the Rfam family "U2 spliceosomal RNA". Rfam says of the family: U2 is a small nuclear RNA (snRNA) component of the spliceosome (involved in pre-mRNA splicing). The record is from Rfam by way of RNAcentral. Lineage: Eukaryota; Metazoa; Chordata; Mammalia; Rodentia; Bathyergidae.
AUCACUUCUCAGUCUUUUGGCUAAGACCAAAUUAGUGUCUGUUCUUACAGUUUAAUAUCUGAUACAUUCUGUCUCUAAUUUCUGCAUGAUAGAAAAAAUUUUAAGGCAAGUAUACAAUUU